RNAcentral lists this long non-coding RNA (4054 nucleotides) under Podarcis lilfordi (Lilford's wall lizard). Lineage: Eukaryota; Metazoa; Chordata; Lepidosauria; Squamata; Lacertidae. The record is from RNAcentral.
AGAGAGAGAGAGAGAGAGAGAGAAUGCUAACAAGGUGUACCUCCUUCUUUUUCUGAACAUAGAUUACGGCAGAUACUGCUCCUACUUCAGUUUUCAUGCUUUAAAAGCUCUUUUAGAUGUGAAGAGGCAAAAGUUUGGAUUCUUACUUUAAUGCUUCAUAUUUAAAAUGCACGAUGCAUCUAAACAAUAAGCAGAAUUGCUGAAUUUUCAGGAGGGGAGCCCUCCGUUUUUACACUGGAUUAUGUCCUCUGUGACUAACAGUAUCAGAUGGGAUGUCUGGAUGAAUGAAUGUUCACUGCUUGCUUUUAUCCCAUGAUCUAAAAGGAACCUGAGGAAGAUAAGGCAAAUGGAUGGCCUUCAGUUUACAUAAUAAAGCAAUUUUCAUUAUGAUGUAGGAUUAAGACAGAACUGUUCAGCUUUCUUUGUAAUUGUGAAUAAAAACAAUUUCAGGAUCAGGAAGGUCACAUCCAAAACAUACAUUUAAGUCACCACUGUACCACUUUUAAUGCCAUAGUUUGAUAAGGGUGCAGACCUCACAGAACUAUUCCCAGCACACUUAACAAACUGCAGUUCCCAGAAUUCUCCAUAACUGUUAAAGUGGUAUAACAGUGCUUAAAAUAUAUGGCAUGGGUGUGUCUGAAAUAUCUCUAAAAUCAUUUCGCCUCUUUGCCUUACCUGAACUUCUUCCACAGCCUCCGUCCUCUUAGGUUGCAUGGGAACAUGGUGAUCUUUUUAAAAUGGCACUGUGGGAGCUUCAUAACAUAAACACUUUGGGACACAGCCUCAGUAAAAUAUGUAUGCAAUUGUUGAUUCAUCUUUUUUUAAUGCCUAGUUUAGUAAAAGCUUCCUUGCCCUGUUUGCUUGAAAUAUUCAUUAGGGAACAUUUUUGUAAACUCUUGGUAUUCACACAACAAAAUACAUCUCCAGAACAUUCCCUGAGGUCUUAACCUUAACUGAAAAAUCAUUAGCUGAACCACUAGUAAGGACUCCUAUAGAAAGCAAAGAUCUUCCUCUCGUUUCCAUUUUGUUUUGUGUGAAUAUUUGUACCCUGUUUUUUCCUUCCAAAAAGGGAGCCAGCAAUAGGUACAUUCCUAAGUUGCCUUCAAGUUUGUGUAAAAUGUGGUUGAUUAAUUAAUAAGCCUUUGGCUGUGUCAACCACAGCAAACUAUGGCAAGUUCUUAAAGAAAUGGGAGUGCCUGAUCACCUCAUCUGUCUCCUGAAAAAUCUCUAUGUGGGACAAGAAGCUACAGUUAGAACUGGAUAUGGAACAACUGAUUGGUUCAAAAUUGGGAAAGGAGUACAACAAGACUGUAUAUUGUCUCCCUGUUUAUUUAACUUAUAUGCAGAAUUCAUCAUGCAAAAGGCUGGACUAGAUGAAUCCCAAACCGGAAUUAAGAUUGCCGUAAGAAAUAUCAACAACCUCAGAUAUGCAGAUGACACAACCUUGAUGGCAGAAAGUGAGGAGGAAUUAAAGAACCUUUUAAUGAGGGUGAAAGAGGAGAGCGCAAAAUAUGGUCUGAAGCUCAUCAUCAAAAAAACCGAAGAUCAUGGCCACUGGGCCCAUCACCUUCUGGCCAACAGAAGGGGGAAAAAUGGAGGCAGUGAGAGAUUUUACUUUCUUGGGCUCCAUGAUCACUGCAGAUGGUGACAGCAGUCAUGAAAUUAAAAUACGCCUGCUUCUUGGGAGAAAAGCAUUGACAAACCUAGACAGCAUCUUGAAAAGCAGAUACAUCACCUUGCCAACAAAGGUCCGCAUAGUUAAAGCUAUGGUUUUCCCAGUAGUGAUGUAUGGAAGUGAGAGCUGGACCAUAAAGAAGGCUGGUCACCAAAGAGUUGAUGCUUUUGAAUUAUGGUGCUGGAAGAGACUCUUGAGAGUCCCAUGGACUGCAAGAAGAUCAAACCUCUCCAUUCUUAAGGAAAUCAGCCCUGAGUGCUCACUGGAAGGACAAAUCAUGAAGCUGAGGGCACAAGGAGAAGGGGACGACAGAGGAUGAGAUGGUUGGACAGUGUUCUUGCAGCCACCAGCAUGAGUUUGACCAAACUGUGGGAGGCAGUGGAAGACAGGAGUACCUGGCGUGCUCUGGUCCAUGGGGUCACAAAGAGUCGGACACGACUAAACAACAACAACAUAUGCAGGUAUUUCCUACGUACAUUGGGCCUUCUUGGAAAGUUUAUGAUAAAGACACAUGGGAAGCAGUGGGCAUGAUCCUGAGCCACCCAUGCUCAUAUGCAUUCAGUCAGUGUACACAUGUUGUCUGAACAGGACUCCAAUCUUCUUGUUGGAAUAUUCAAUAUUCCUCCUGUAUAAAGCUAACUAUAAAUACCUUUUGCUUCAACUGUUUUUACUGAAAAUUAGCAGUAAAUUACAGGAGCCCACACCCUUCUACUGAAUAGUACAUUAGUCCAUAAAUAGCACUGCUCACUUUGAGGGGGCCACUUGUGAAAUUUAGUUCUAUUCAAGUUAAUAGCAUUAGUUCAUGUGGUUUUUUAUUUUAAAAAAUUGAAUAAAUUCUUAGUUCUGUGCUCAUAGCGUUGCACGUAUCUGAUAAACUAAUGUGCUUGACUUCAGCAGAAGAGGUCAAGGGUUUCAAUGUUUUUCAUUUUCACACCAAAUUGCUCUGCCCGUUCACCCUGGAAUAAACGAUAACGUGAGAUACAGGAUGCAGUGAGGGGGAAGCAUCAGUGCAAAGAAGAGAAAAGCACAAAAGGGAAGAGGGAGAGCAGGAGAGAGGUGGGGGAGGCACUCGGAGUCAGAGCUAUUUUUGGCAGCAAUUCCCGUGGUACGCUCCAUUUUUCUGGAAAUAGGUGCUUCUGUUAUGCAUUUUCACACAACCUAGGGAGAACUGCCCAUGUAACAAACGGUAGGCUUUGAUGUUGUAAGGAGAAACUGCAGAAGACCCAUGUAUUGAGUUGCCAAGGGGAAAGAGUGUGGCUUAUUAAUUUAUUUUAUUUAUUUAAAAACGGCCACCUAACAGACUAUGGGCUUCUCCAUAACAGCUCCCACAGUACUUUGUGGAUGUUUGGGACAUCCUAGCUACUGUAGCUUCUUACAUAGCAUGCGCUGUGAAUGCACAAUUCAUUCGGACACAACCCAUCUGGAUAUUUUCCUGUGAAAAUGAAAUGAACAGGACGGGGAUGAUUAUAGUUUUGUACCAGUCCCAGGGGGUUUACUCAGGAGAGCUACAGUUGGGCAACCAGUGUUUCUUCUUCUUAAGCGAAAGAAAGGUUUCUGGUUUGUAAAAGAGCCGCUGUGCCUAUUCCAUUGUUUUCAGAAAGGGAAAUUCAUGAGAAAAACCAAGUUGUAGCUACGAAAGGAUUCAAGCGUGUUAGAAUUAAGACAGUGAAGCAGGGACAGAUGUUGGGUAUCUACAGCCAAAGUAUUUUGGCAAUCUCGUAACUAUUCCUGGAAAACAAAGUUAGGACAGAUACCAUCCCAACUGAUGUACAAAAGUUCUCCCUACUGACUAAUCCUUGAGGCCUCCUCUUAACUUUCUAAAUUUGCCAUCCCCAAAGAACAGUAGAUAGAAUUAUAGACAAAACACAACAUUUGGGAGCCAAUCCCUGUUGAAGCGACUCUGCAUUUAUUUGAACUUGUUUCAGUCUUCUAGGAAAUAUUUGCAAACAAAUUAUGGAGUCCUCAGGGACAGUAUUAGGAAGUGAUACAGUGUGGUUUACUUAUGGAAGAAAUCAUCCUGGCUCUCUUAGUUAAGCCCCUCAAUACACAAAACAGUCUGUUUCAUUUCAGUGAAACUGUGUUCUUUUUUUCCUACUGGGGAUACAAAUAAUAAAUAACAGCCUUAUUUAAAGAUUGUUGAAAUGGGCUCCCUUUCCCUGUUUAGGAGCCUCAGAGCCACAUCAGUCAUCCUUGGAAAGCUGAAUAUGUUAUUACAAGGCACAAAGAUUGCAAGAAAGCCAUUUUACUUUUUAAUAGUAUAAUCGUUGGGAUAACACACAUGGCUGAAGUAGAUUAUGUCGAACAACCUGCAAUUCAGAUAAAACAGAUGGAAUCGUGGUUUCACAAUUUUGCUUAAGAAGGAGUUUAUUGGUCUGUGUU